This 253-nucleotide ribosomal RNA is filed under the name uncultured bacterium. RNAcentral describes it as "partial 16S ribosomal RNA". It matches the Rfam family "Bacterial small subunit ribosomal RNA", at positions 524 to 776 of the family's 1533-position model. The record is from RNAcentral.
UACGUAGGGUGCAAGCGUUGUCCGGAAUUAUUGGGCAUAAAGAGCUCGUAGGCGGUCUGUCACGUCUGCUGUGAAAACUCGGGGCUUAACCCCGGGCCUGCAGUGGGUACGGGCAGACUAGAGUGCGGUAGGGGAGACUGGAAUUCCUGGUGUAGCGGUGAAAUGCGCAGAUAUCAGGAGGAACACCGGUGGCGAAGGCGGGUCUCUAGUACGGUACUGACGCUGAGACGCGAAAGCGUGGGGAGCGAACAGG